AGCUUAAUGAGGGUUCCCAGCCUGGAGCACGAGUUCUGUUCCAUUCUUUCUUCUUCAGCUGCAACACAGAAAGGGGUCAUGGUUAUGUUAGCACAAAAAGGGCAAAACCUUAGGGAUCGUGUGGCUUGCGGCUAGGGCUUGAAAGACCGAGCAGAUACCGAAAGAAAAAAGAAAAGUCAGAAAAAAGAGCUUGAAUAAAUCUUAAAACCCUAACCCUCCUCUUUUUCUCGUUUCUGCAUCACUAAUCGUUUCCGAUGGCGGGAGGAAAGAUCAAGAAAGAGAAAGCAAAGUCAAAUCGCGCACCAGCAAACCACUACCAAGGAGGCAUAUCCUUCCACAAGUCCAAAGGUCAACACAUACUCAAGAAUCCUUUAUUAGUGGACUCCAUUGUGCAAAAAGCUGGAAUCAAGAGCACCGAUGUCAUCCUCGAAAUCGGUCCCGGUACCGGAAAUCUUACUAAGAAGCUUCUUGAAGCUGGAAAGGAAGUCAUCGCCAUCGAGCUUGAUUCUCGUAUGGUUCUCGAGUUGCAGCGGCGGUUUCAGGGGACUCCGUUCUCUAAUCGCCUGAAGGUCAUCCAGGGUGAUGUGCUAAAGACCGAUCUUCCCCAUUUUGAUAUUUGUGUGGCAAACAUUCCUUACCAAAUAUCUUCUCCCCUCACUUUCAAAUUAUUAUUUCACCAACCUGGCUUCAGGUGUGCUGUCAUUAUGUUUCAAAGAGAAUUCGCAAUGAGGCUGGCUGCUCAGCCUGGAGACAAUCUCUAUUGUCGUCUUUCUGUAAAUACCCAGCUCUAUGCUCGAGUAUCUCAUCUACUCAAAGUUGGGAGGAACAAUUUCCGGCCACCACCAAAGGUUGAUUCAUCUGUUGUUCGAAUUGAGCCCAGGAAACCACGUCCACAAGUGAAUGCUAAGGAGUGGGAUGGAUUUAUACGAAUUUGUUUCAUUCGAAAGAACAAAACCCUUGGUUCCAUUUUCAGGCAGAAAAAUGUACUUUCGCUACUGGAGAAGAACUACAAGACCUUACUGUCACUACAGUCUCAAAAUGAUUCCUCUGAGGAUGCUACUAUGAAUAUAUUGAGAUUGGGGGAUUCUAAUGGGGAUCAAAGCAUGGAGAUGGAUGAUGAAAUGGAUGAUGAAAUGGAGGUGGAGGAUGGCGAGGGAGAUGGUGAGGUUUCGGAAUUCAAGGACAAGGUCUUGGCUGUGUUAAGGGAGGGAGAUUUUGAAGAGAAGAGGGCUUCCAAACUCUCACAACAAGAGUUUUUAUUUCUACUCUCUCUGUUCAACAAAGCUGGCAUUCAUUUCUCUUGAUUUAGUUCUCAAAUAUCUGCAGCGUCUUCUCAAGUCAUGUAUGUAAUUCUUGAAGUAUAUAUAUGGCUGGAUGGCAGAAUAAUGUUUCUGCAGUGUGGUUCUUUCAUUUAGUGAUGGUUGGAGAAUAAGGAGCAUGAGAAGACAGCAUAACAAGAGAGGUUUUUGGUAAUCUAGAAGAUCUUGGAUUGAAAAGAAUCCUCCUAGCGUCUGUAUCUAUACUUGUAUAAGUAUAUAUUUUUAUUGUGAACAAAAAUUGAAUCCUCAUCCCCUGCUGUGCCAUGAUUAUCAUGGAUCUUCCUGGUUGAAUCAUCAUCCCCGCUUGAUCCUUCUUUUUUUUGUUUUACUAAUGCUAGAAUACUGUAUCUCUUGAUAAUAAUAU
RNA transcript from Carica papaya (papaya), 1683 nucleotides. It is a transcript of the gene named Ribosomal RNA adenine dimethylase family protein, with no coding region annotated. The record is from RefSeq and is a predicted model, not a curated record. NCBI's taxonomy places the organism in Eukaryota, Viridiplantae, Streptophyta, Magnoliopsida, Brassicales, Caricaceae.